This 761-nucleotide ribosomal RNA is filed under the name Lissodendoryx sp. 2 JV-2020. Its description in RNAcentral is "partial large subunit ribosomal RNA". It matches the Rfam family "Eukaryotic large subunit ribosomal RNA", at positions 82 to 657 of the family's 3401-position model. The record is from RNAcentral. Lineage: Eukaryota; Metazoa; Porifera; Demospongiae; Poecilosclerida; Coelosphaeridae.
AGUAACGGCGAGCGAAGAGGGAUGAGCUCGAGCAUGAAAUCCCCGGCGCCUGGCGCCGGAGAAUUGUGGCCGGGAGAGGCAGCGGUGCCCGGGCUGGCGCUGUCGAAGUUGACCUGGAAAGGCACGUCGGAGAGGGUGAGAGCCCCGUGUGCGACACCGGCGGGCCGGGCCGCAGCUGUCUUCGGAGAGUCGGGUUGUUUGGGAUUGCAGCCCAAAGUGGGUGGUAAACUCCAUCUAAAGCUAAAUACUGGCACGAGACCGAUAGCGAACAAGUACCGUGAGGGAAAGGUGAAAAGUACUUUGAAAAGAGAGUCAAAAAGACCGCGAAACCGUUAGGAGGGAAACGAAUGCGGCUGAAGUGGCUCCCCGUCAGGCUCAGGGGACGUCGUCGGGUCUCGCAGGUGGCGGUUGCUUCCGCGCCGGCGAGACGCCCGUCGACCGCUCUGCACUUCUGCGGGGAGCCGGCCAACGUCAGUUGCGCCCGGCCCAGAAGGGCGUCGGGGUAGGUGGCUCCGUGCUCUGCGCGGGGAACUUAUAGCCCGGCGUCAGUUCGGCGCUCCGGGGUGGCGACUGAGGAGAGUUGCGAGUUUCGCACGUGGCGGCGCAGGCCUCUCGAGGCUGGGCCCCUUCCCGUCGGAGUGGCGUCCGAGGCGUUCCACUGCGUGCAGUGGGGGUCUACGGCGCGCUCUCCGGAGGGGAGGACGGUCGCACCUUGCGUCGCAGUCGUUGGUGCCCGGAUGGCCGCAUCCGACCCGUCUUGA